RNAcentral lists this ribosomal RNA (870 nucleotides) under Triticum aestivum (bread wheat). Its description in RNAcentral is "partial small subunit ribosomal RNA". Lineage: Eukaryota; Viridiplantae; Streptophyta; Magnoliopsida; Poales; Poaceae. The record is from RNAcentral.
AUGAUAAGAGAUUUCUGGUGGGGAGAUGAGGACGCCCAUCGGAAGGUUCACUGGAUGUCGUGGGAAAGGAUGACAAGGCCUAAAAGGGCGGGAGGCAUUGGCUUCGGAGAUAUGAAUUUUUUCAACCAAGCGCUGCUGGCCAAGCAAGCGUGGAGGCUAAUUCAGAACCCAAACGGCCUAUGCGCGAGAGUCCUAAAAGCCAAAUACUUUCCGAAUGGUAAUAUCUUGGAUACAGUUUUCGCCUCGGAUGCAUCCCCCGUGUGGAGAGCUAUUGAAUUUGGACUGGAACUAUUGAAAAAAGGAAUUAUCUGGAGGGUUGGGAAUGGGUAGGACAUACAAAUUCAACGGGAUCGGUGGAUCCCUAGAAGAGAGGGCUUGAAGACGGCAUCAUUCAUUCGGAGGUCGCGCAUUCGGUGGGUUAGCCAGCUCAUGCACACAGACAGGAAAGAAUGGAACGAGAAUUUGAUCAGGCAACUCUUUUAUUCGUUUGAUGCGGACGAAAUCUGCAAGCUGAAUAUUCCGAGCUCGGACAUGAAGGAUUGUGUAGCUUGGCAUUAUGAGAAGAAUGGAGUCUUCUCGGUAAGGAGCGCGUAUAAACUUGCUAUGGCCAGCCUCCCGCAAAUGGCCCAAAACCCUUCAAGCUCGGCCAGAGAGCCAAAUGAUCGAAGUAUAUGGGACCUCAUUUGGAAGUCGAAUGUGCCUGGGAAAGUUCGUAUUUUUGGAUGGAGGGUGGCUACUAAUACGUUAGCCACAAAGAAAAACAAUUGGAAAAGAACAGUAGAAGUGGAUGCCACUUGCAAUAUCUGUGGAAAUGGAAUCGAGGAUGAGCAUCAUGCGGUGGUCAUGUGCACAAAAAGUAGGGCCCUCUGA